AGCGAACGCUGGCGGCAGGCCUAACACAUGCAAGUCGAACGAACCUUUCGGGGUUAGUGGCGGACGGGUGAGUAACACGUGGGAACGUGCCUUUAGGUUCGGAAUAACUCAGGGAAACUUGUGCUAAUACCGAAUGUGCCCUUCGGGGGAAAGAUUAAUCGCCUUUAGAGCGGCCCGCGUCUGAUUAGCUAGUUGGUUGAGGUAAUGGCUCACCAAGGCGACGAUCAGUAGCUGGUCUGAGAUGAUGAUCAGCCACAUUGGGACUGAGACACGGCCCAAACUCCUACGGGAGGCAGCAGUGGGGAAUCUUGCGCAAUGGGCGAAAGCCUGACGCAGCCAUGCCGCGUGAAUGAUGAAGGUCUUAGGAUUGUAAAAUUCUUUCACCGGGGACGAUAAUGACGGUACCCGGAGAAGAAGCCCCGGCUAACUUCGUG
RNAcentral lists this ribosomal RNA (434 nucleotides) under uncultured bacterium. RNAcentral describes it as "partial 16S ribosomal RNA". It matches the Rfam family "Bacterial small subunit ribosomal RNA", at positions 29 to 507 of the family's 1533-position model. The record is from RNAcentral.